RNAcentral lists this ribosomal RNA (900 nucleotides) under uncultured bacterium. Its description in RNAcentral is "bacterial SSU rRNA". It matches the Rfam family "Bacterial small subunit ribosomal RNA", at positions 484 to 1397 of the family's 1533-position model. The record is from RNAcentral.
GGAAUAGUCACGGCUAACUACGUGCCAGCAGCCGCGGUAAUACGUAGGUGGCAAGCGUUAUCCGGAUUCACUGGGCGUAAAGCGCGUGCAGGCGGUUUCGUAAGUCGGACGUGAAAGCUCCUGGCUUAACUGGGAGAGGUCGUUCGAUACUGCGGGGCUUGAGGUCGGGAGAGGGACGUGGAAUUCCCGGUGUAGUGGUGGAAUGCGUAGAUAUCGGGAGGAACACCAGUGGCGAAGGCGACGUCCUGGCCCGCACCUGACGCUGAGACGCGAAAGCGUGGGUAGCGAACGGGAUUAGAUACCCCGGUAGUCCACGCUGUAAACGGUGGGUACUAGGUGUUGGUGGCUAUCGUCAUCAGUGCCGUAGCUAACGCGUUAAGUACCCCGCCUGGGGACUACGGCCGCAAGGCUAAAACUCAAAGGAAUUGACGGGGGCCCGCACAAGCAGCGGAGCGUGUGGUUUAAUUCGAGGCAACACGAAGAACCUUACCUGGGCUUGACAUGCACGUAGUAGUGAAGCGAAAGCGGAUCGAUCCUUCGGGAAGCGUGCACAGGUGCUGCAUGGCUGUCGUCAGCUCGUGCCGUGAGGUGUUCGGUUAAGUCCGGUAACGAGCGCAACCCUUGCUGUUAGUUACAAGUGUCUAACAGGACUGCCGGUUCAAUGCCGGAGGAAGGUGGGGAUGACGUCAAGUCAGCAUGGCCUCUAUGUCCAGGGCUACACACACGCUACAAUGGCCGGUACAAUGGGUUGCCAAGCCGCGAGGCGGAGCUAAUCCUAAAAGGCCGGUCUCAGUUCGGAUUGCAGGCUGCAACUCGCCUGCAUGAAGUCGGAGUUGCUAGUAACCGCAGGUCAGCUAUACUGCGGUGAAUACGUUCCCGGGCCUUGCACACACCGCCCGU